This is a long non-coding RNA of Stylophora pistillata, 262 nucleotides long. Lineage: Eukaryota; Metazoa; Cnidaria; Anthozoa; Scleractinia; Pocilloporidae. The record is from RefSeq and is a predicted model, not a curated record.
GGUGAAGAUAUGAUUUUUUAGUAAAAGGAGAAAUCCUGGUAUUUCAUCAGUAUCUAUAUAAUAAAUGUAGUUAUCGUCUUCUCCAUGCUUGUAUCAGUUGACUGGUCAGCCUGUACUGAUUGGAGGAACCAUGGGCACGUGUAGUUACGUUUUGACAGGAACGGAAAAGGGAAUGAACCAGACGUUCGGUACCACGUGUCACGGAGCAGUAAGUACAUGUAUUCUCAGCAGUAUUUUUACUUGAUUUGAAGGCAUGAUGACA